CAGGCUGUAGUUUAGUGAAAAAUUGAGGCUUUGGGAGCAUUAGAUCCUAUUGUUUAGGUGGCCUGA
Molecule: transfer RNA, 66 nt
Filed under: Hiatula diphos (diphos sanguin)
Lineage: Eukaryota; Metazoa; Mollusca; Bivalvia; Cardiida; Psammobiidae
Also listed under: 1 other name
Description: Soletellina diphos (diphos sanguin) tRNA-Pro
Source: RNAcentral